ACCCUGUAAGGGAAGAAUCCUGGGAAAGAGGCAAGCCUAUGAAGUCCCAGGAUCAAGGCACCACGGCUGACACCACAUGCGCAGAGAGAGGGGAAAGACCAAGAAGUGACUCAUGACAUCACCCUCGUCUCUGAAAGACAAGAUGUUGGUCUCCUCAGGUGCCGUGCAGUCUUCAGUGUUGGCUGCAGCCACAGCCCCUGCAAUGCAGACCAGGAUGAGGGAAAGCCGCUGGAAGAGGCCUACAGCAUUUUUUAUUAGUAAAUCCAGAGGACGUGUUAUAUAAAGUGUAAGACAACCACCAUUGCAUGCAUUUAUUCAUUCACUCAUUCAGUAAGGAAUUUUCCAUUUCUUUAUAAAUGAGUAAAAGGUACAGGCUGGGUGGCCUUGGCCAGUAUCCCAUUAAUGAAAGACAGAUUUGAAUAAAAA
RNAcentral lists this long non-coding RNA (426 nucleotides) under Homo sapiens (human). Its description in RNAcentral is "HSALNT0299142". The record is from RNAcentral. Lineage: Eukaryota; Metazoa; Chordata; Mammalia; Primates; Hominidae.